Molecule: long non-coding RNA, 290 nt
Organism: Orcinus orca (killer whale)
Lineage: Eukaryota; Metazoa; Chordata; Mammalia; Artiodactyla; Delphinidae
Exons: 3
Source: RefSeq, a predicted model, not a curated record
GAAAGGGAAGCCGAGGGCAGGUCCAGAGGCUUGGAACUCCCGGCGCCGAGGCGCAGCUUCUCUGGAAACCGGGGAGGGCGGGGCUCCGUUCCCAUGGUAACCGACAGACAAACAAACUCGGGCGCCAGGACCCCGCGCUGGAGCCGCGCGGCCGCCCAGCUUCGCUGUUAUCGUUGAAGAAUCACUUGGCUUGGACUCAGUUCACUCCCUGACAUUCCUCCUUCCUUCAUCAUGGAGAAAGCAUGUUUAACUAGAGUGUGAAGAAGAGGCUAGUGCCCUAAGAGCUCCCC